GACCCCAGGUUAGGUGGGGCAACCCGCCGAGC
RNAcentral lists this ribosomal RNA (32 nucleotides) under Tacca sp. US:Redden6788. RNAcentral describes it as "partial 26S ribosomal RNA". The record is from RNAcentral. Lineage: Eukaryota; Viridiplantae; Streptophyta; Magnoliopsida; Dioscoreales; Taccaceae.